CCUACGGGAGGCAGCAGUGGGGAAUAUUGCACAAUGGGGGCAACCCUGAUGCAGCAACGCCGCGUGAGUGAAGACGUAUCUCGGUAUGUAAAGCUCUAUCAGCAGGGAAGUAGAUGACGGUACCUGAUCAUGUAGCCCCGGCUAAAUACGUUCCAGCAGCCGCGGUAAUACGGAGGGGGCAAGCGUUAUCCGGAUUUACUGGGUGUAAGGGGAGCGUAGACGGGAGUGCAAGUCUGGAGUGAAAGCCCGCGGCCCAACCCCGGAACUGCUCUGGAAACUGUACGGCUUGAGUACUGGUGGGGUAGGCGGAAUUCGUGGUGUAGCGGUGAAAUGCGUAGAUAUUAGGAAGAACACCAAUGGCGAAGGCGACCUGCUGGACAGUAACUGACGUUGAGGCUCGAAAGCGUGGGGAGCAAACAGGAUUAGAUACCCUUGUAGUC
This 440-nucleotide ribosomal RNA is filed under the name uncultured bacterium. RNAcentral's name for it is "partial 16S ribosomal RNA". It matches the Rfam family "Bacterial small subunit ribosomal RNA", at positions 338 to 795 of the family's 1533-position model. The record is from RNAcentral.